GACAUCGCUGUACUGUUCCUCUUUAAAUCAGCUCUUAAUUUUUUUCUACCAAAAAUGAUUAGCUCAGGUCAGGGGGUACUUGGCUUAAAGAAACAAUUCAAAAGGGGUACAUUAUUGAAAAAGUUUGAGAACCUCUGACCUAGAAAAUGGAGA
Long non-coding RNA from Etheostoma spectabile (orangethroat darter), 153 nucleotides. RefSeq lists it as uncharacterized. The record is from RefSeq and is a predicted model, not a curated record. The transcript has 3 exons. NCBI's taxonomy places the organism in Eukaryota, Metazoa, Chordata, Actinopteri, Perciformes, Percidae.